UGUGGUGGAUGAUGAGAUCAAAUAAAUUCACAGUUAUCCCUGUCUGAGAUAAUAUCUGCUGACAAUUUGUGAUCUGACACUACC
This is a non-coding RNA of Daucus carota subsp. sativus, 84 nucleotides long. The record is from Rfam. NCBI's taxonomy places the organism in Eukaryota, Viridiplantae, Streptophyta, Magnoliopsida, Apiales, Apiaceae.